This 901-nucleotide long non-coding RNA is filed under the name Brassica rapa (field mustard). RNAcentral's name for it is "long non-coding RNA (BRAP_LNC003807)". Lineage: Eukaryota; Viridiplantae; Streptophyta; Magnoliopsida; Brassicales; Brassicaceae. The record is from RNAcentral.
GGAGAUUAGGCAAAAUGCGUGCAAGAGAGAGAGAGAUAGAAGUUACUUAUAUCACUCAUGUAUAGGGAGUCUUGUAUUAAUACAUACAUAAGUGAAAGAGUAGGCCCUAAGAUGACAAUUUGUAAACAAUCCUUUUCACAUUGUAUAUACAGGUUCUUAUUAUUCCCAAUCGGGGUCAAAGAAUCCAGCAUCCUUCAUCUCUGAAUAGUAGACAUUCUCCAUGUUCAGAUCUUCCUCCUGCAUCAAAACCAGCACCAAAUCAUUUGAACAUUGCAACAAUCACAUGCCUAGAGGGAUGCUUUGGUGUAAACGAGUUAAGAAACAUUUUGGGAUAAACAUGAAGGGACAUGAGUGUAAACGAGUUAAGAAACUGUCCUAAGCUACAGAAGGUGGGAUUAACAGAGAUCAAAUACAGUUCAACAACAUAAAAGAAGACACAACAUUGUGAAAAAUCUAAUCUUUAAACAAUCCCGAAAGGUAACAAGAACACAUACAUAAUAAUCAAGAAACAAGACACAACAAAGCUAACAGAGACAAAACAAGAACACAAACACAUAAAAAAACACCUACAUUCUCAAAUCGAUUCACAAGAACCCAAGAACAUAUACAUAAACACUAAUCUAUAUGCUUUUUACAGAGACUAACCACGAUCAAAACACAUGCAAAGAAGAAUAAAAACAAAAUUUCAUACCAUGAAAACAAAAUUUCAUACCAUGAAAAAAAAACAAAGCUUUUGACUUAUCAAUGAUAUAAACCGGAGAAGAACGAUGUGGAUGUAGAUUCCGACCGACGGAGGAGGCGAUGUUGGAUGGCUCCGAGCUCGACGAGACAAAGGAGACGCGAAGGUGAUAUGGAAGAGACGACGCCAUCGAGAAGAAGAGGAAUUAGGUUUUGAUGAUUU